Molecule: microRNA precursor, 168 nt
Filed under: Medicago truncatula (barrel medic)
Lineage: Eukaryota; Viridiplantae; Streptophyta; Magnoliopsida; Fabales; Fabaceae
Description: MIR2680 microRNA precursor family
Rfam family: MIR2680 microRNA precursor family
Source: Rfam by way of RNAcentral
AUAGGAUCUAGACCUGGCAUAUCUUCAUACGACCAUGCAAAAAUAUCCGGAUAUUCCCGGAGGAGCUGGAUGAUCUUCUGUUUAACCCCUUCCUUUAGAGUAGCACCAAUCUUGAUUUCUCGCUUGUUUUCCUCGGUACCUAUGUUGAUAAGCUCAAUCUCUUCCUGG